GAACCUUAUCAUUUAGAGGAAGGAGAAGUCGUAACAAGGUUUCCGUAGGUGAACCUGCGGAAGGAUCAUUGUCGAAACCUGCAUAGCAGAACGACCCGCGAACACGUUACAAUACCGGGUGAGGGACGAGGGGUGCGCAAGCUCCCCAAGUUGCAAACCCAUGGUCGGGGACCACCCUUGGGUGGAUCUCGUCCGAACAACGACCCCCCGGCGCGGAAUGCGCCAAGGAAAUCAAACUGAACUGCACGCGUCCCCCCCGUUUGCGGGCGGCGGAAGCGUCUUUCUAAAACACAAACGACUCUCGACAACGGAUAUCUCGGCUCUCGCAUCGAUGAAGAACGUAGCGAAAUGCGAUACUUGGUGUGAAUUGCAGAAUCCCGUGAACCAUCGAGUCUUUGAACGCAAGUUGCGCCCGAAGCCAUUAGGCCGAGGGCACGUCUGCCUGGGCGUCACGCAUCGCGUCGCCCCCCAACCCAUCACUCCCUUGCGGGAGUUGAGGCGGAGGGGCGGAUAAUGGCCUCCCGUGUCUCACCGCGCGGUUGGCCCAAAUGCGAGUCCUUGGCGAUGGACGUCACGACAAGUGGUGGUUGUAAAAAGCCCUCUUCUCAUGUCGUGCGGUGACCCGUCGCCAGCAAAAGCUCUCAUGACCCUGUUGCGCCGUCCUCGACGUGCGCUCCGACCGCGACCCCAGGUCAGGCGGGACUACCCGCUGAGUUUAAGCAUAUCAAUAA
RNAcentral lists this ribosomal RNA (731 nucleotides) under Panax ginseng (ginseng). RNAcentral describes it as "eukaryotic LSU rRNA". The stretch from base 297 to 452 matches the Rfam family "5.8S ribosomal RNA". Lineage: Eukaryota; Viridiplantae; Streptophyta; Magnoliopsida; Apiales; Araliaceae. The record is from RNAcentral.